UACGUAGGGGGCUAGCGUUGUCCGGAAUCAUUGGGCGUAAAGAGCGUGUAGGCGGUCCGGUAAGUCCGCUGUGAAAGUCGGGGGCUCAACCCUCGAAUGCCGGUGGAUACUGUCGGGCUAGAGUGCGGAAGAGGCGAGUGGAAUUCCUGGUGUAGCGGUGAAAUGCGCAGAUAUCAGGAGGAACACCGAUGGCGAAGGCAGGUCUCUGGGCCACUACUGACGCUGAGAAGCGAAAGCGUGGGGAGCGAACAGG
This 253-nucleotide ribosomal RNA is filed under the name uncultured bacterium. RNAcentral describes it as "partial 16S ribosomal RNA". It matches the Rfam family "Bacterial small subunit ribosomal RNA", at positions 524 to 776 of the family's 1533-position model. The record is from RNAcentral.